UAGGUUGAGCCUACGUCGGAUUAGCUAGUUGGUGGGGUAAAGGCCUACCAAAGCGACGAUCCGUAGCUGGUCUGAGAGGAUGACCAGCCACACUGGGACUGAGACACGGCCCAGACUCCUACGGGAGGCAGCAGUGGGGAAUCUUGGACAAUGGGGGAAACCCUGAUCCAGCGAUACCGCGUGUGUGAAGAAGGCCUUCGGGUUGUAAAGCACUUUAG
Molecule: ribosomal RNA, 218 nt
Filed under: Candidatus Rickettsiella viridis
Lineage: Bacteria; Pseudomonadati; Pseudomonadota; Gammaproteobacteria; Legionellales; Coxiellaceae
Description: partial 16S ribosomal RNA
Rfam family: Bacterial small subunit ribosomal RNA
Source: RNAcentral